UUCCUUUCCAUUUGCACCAAAAAAUUAGAUUACAACAUCAUUGCUAUUGAUGAGGAUACUGCUAUUGAGUAUGACUGCUACAGUAUCUUCGGUGUGACAAACUACUGCAUUCAUUUCCUGUCACGGAUGCCAUCCAUUGAUGGGAGCAAACUUUUUCAAAUGAUCGAACUUGCUGAGGAUUUAGGUCUGAAUAACCAGAACCUCACCUACACCGCUACCAAGCAAGAGGGCUGCUGGUGAACUGCAUAGCAUUUAUUAACGGAAAAACAUUUCUUGAUUACAGAUCUUAUUAAACUUUCAGCUUCAA
Molecule: long non-coding RNA, 307 nt
Organism: Macrobrachium nipponense
Lineage: Eukaryota; Metazoa; Arthropoda; Malacostraca; Decapoda; Palaemonidae
Exons: 3
Source: RefSeq, a predicted model, not a curated record